AGAGCAGAUCACCUUAUCGCUUUCCGCAUUAUGCGGGAGGAGGAAAGUCCGGACACCAUAGUGCAGCAUAGCGGGUAACACCCGUCGUUCCGCAACAGCGGAAUAGGACAAGUGCAGCAGAAAGUAUGUACAGGUAAGGCUGUAGUGAAAUCAGGUAAACUCUAUGCGGUGAAACGCCAUGUAUAUCAGCGGUUGAGGGCGGCACGCCCGAGUUGAAGGGUAGGCGGCUAGAAUGUUGGGGUAACUCAACAUCCAGAUAAAUGAUAGGGGCCCUGAGGGGAACAGAAUCCGGCUUAUGAUCUGCUUUUUUA
This 311-nucleotide RNase P RNA is filed under the name Muriicola soli. RNAcentral's name for it is "Bacterial RNase P class A". It matches the Rfam family "Bacterial RNase P class A". From Rfam's summary of the family: Ribonuclease P (RNase P) is a ubiquitous endoribonuclease, found in archaea, bacteria and eukarya as well as chloroplasts and mitochondria. Its best characterised activity is the generation of mature 5'-ends of tRNAs by cleaving the 5'-leader elements of precursor-tRNAs. Cellular RNase Ps are ribonucleoproteins. Lineage: Bacteria; Pseudomonadati; Bacteroidota; Flavobacteriia; Flavobacteriales; Flavobacteriaceae. The record is from Rfam by way of RNAcentral.